RNAcentral lists this small nucleolar RNA (64 nucleotides) under Atractosteus spatula (alligator gar). Its description in RNAcentral is "Small nucleolar RNA SNORD42". It matches the Rfam family "Small nucleolar RNA SNORD42". Rfam says of the family: snoRNA U42 is found in intron 3 of the ribosomal protein L23a (RPL23a) gene in humans and is also present in mice. U42 is a member of the C/D class of snoRNA which contain C (UGAUGA) and D (CUGA) box motifs. RNAcentral also lists the same sequence under 1 other name. Lineage: Eukaryota; Metazoa; Chordata; Actinopteri; Semionotiformes; Lepisosteidae. The record is from Rfam by way of RNAcentral.
GUGAAAGUGAUGGAAACUUUAUCGUGUCUGAACAAUGAUGCUUUCAAAGGAACCACUGAUUCAC